AUGCAAGUCGAGCGGGGGAAGGUAGCUUGCUACUGGACCUAGCGGCGGACGGGUGAGUAAUGCUUAGGAAUCUGCCUAUUAGUGGGGGACAACAUCUCGAAAGGGAUGCUAAUACCGCAUACGUCCUACGGGAGAAAGCAGGGGAUCUUCGGACCUUGCGCUAAUAGAUGAGCCUAAGUCGGAUUAGCUAGUUGGUGGGGUAAAGGCCUACCAAGGCGACGAUCUGUAGCGGGUCUGAGAGGAUGAUCCGCCACACUGGGACUGAGACACGGCCCAGACUCCUACGGGAGGCAGCAGUGGGGAAUAUUGGACAAUGGGGGGAACCCUGAUCCAGCCAUGCCGCGUGUGUGAAGAAGGCCUUAUGGUUGUAAAGCACUUUAAGCGAGGAGGAGGCUACUUUAGUUAAUACCUAGAGAUAGUGGACGUUACUCGCAGAAUAAGCACCGGCUAACUCUGUGCCAGCAGCCGCGGUAAUACAGAGGGUGCGAGCGUUAAUCGGAUUUACUGGGCGUAAAGCGUGCGUAGGCGGCUUAUUAAGUCGGAUGUGAAAUCCCCGA
RNAcentral lists this ribosomal RNA (557 nucleotides) under Acinetobacter baumannii OIFC189. RNAcentral's name for it is "bacterial SSU rRNA". It matches the Rfam family "Bacterial small subunit ribosomal RNA", at positions 55 to 606 of the family's 1533-position model. The record is from RNAcentral. Lineage: Bacteria; Pseudomonadati; Pseudomonadota; Gammaproteobacteria; Moraxellales; Moraxellaceae.